RNAcentral lists this ribosomal RNA (898 nucleotides) under Neisseria meningitidis 93004. RNAcentral's name for it is "bacterial SSU rRNA". It matches the Rfam family "Bacterial small subunit ribosomal RNA", at positions 628 to 1527 of the family's 1533-position model. The record is from RNAcentral. Lineage: Bacteria; Pseudomonadati; Pseudomonadota; Betaproteobacteria; Neisseriales; Neisseriaceae.
CUGAACUGGGUGACUCGAGUGUGUCAGAGGGAGGUAGAAUUCCACGUGUAGCAGUGAAAUGCGUAGAGAUGUGGAGGAAUACCGAUGGCGAAGGCAGCCUCCUGGGACAACACUGACGUUCAUGCCCGAAAGCGUGGGUAGCAAACAGGAUUAGAUACCCUGGUAGUCCACGCCCUAAACGAUGUCAAUUAGCUGUUGGGCAACCUGAUUGCUUGGUAGCGUAGCUAACGCGUGAAAUUGACCGCCUGGGGAGUACGGUCGCAAGAUUAAAACUCAAAGGAAUUGACGGGGACCCGCACAAGCGGUGGAUGAUGUGGAUUAAUUCGAUGCAACGCGAAGAACCUUACCUGGUCUUGACAUGUACGGAAUCCUCUGGAGACGGAGGAGUGCCUUCGGGAGCCGUAACACAGGUGCUGCAUGGCUGUCGUCAGCUCGUGUCGUGAGAUGUUGGGUUAAGUCCCGCAACGAGCGCAACCCUUGUCAUUAGUUGCCAUCAUUCAGUUGGGCACUCUAAUGAGACUGCCGGUGACAAGCCGGAGGAAGGUGGGGAUGACGUCAAGUCCUCAUGGCCCUUAUGACCAGGGCUUCACACGUCAUACAAUGGUCGGUACAGAGGGUAGCCAAGCCGCGAGGCGGAGCCAAUCUCACAAAACCGAUCGUAGUCCGGAUUGCACUCUGCAACUCGAGUGCAUGAAGUCGGAAUCGCUAGUAAUCGCAGGUCAGCAUACUGCGGUGAAUACGUUCCCGGGUCUUGUACACACCGCCCGUCACACCAUGGGAGUGGGGGAUACCAGAAGUAGGUAGGAUAACCGCAAGGAGUCCGCUUACCACGGUAUGCUUCAUGACUGGGGUGAAGUCGUAACAAGGUAGCCGUAGGGGAACCUGCGGCUGGAUCACC